GGAACAGGGUAUAAUGAUAGCGCACGGUGGUAGAGUCAGGGUAUGUGAGCCCUUUUUCUCCGCCACGCUUGCAGCUGCCGCCGUCUCGAGGCCGCUCGCCGCCGGCCGUAACAGGAACGCUAGGUGCGCGAGUGCUCGUCCGCCGCAGAAGGGGGAGGCGGAGGUACGGCAGGGGCAGGAGGAGGAGGAGGAGGGGUGUGGCCUUCGAGGAGAUGAGGAACUAAACGACCCGCCACGUCGCCACGGCCUACAGCCUCAGCGGCACGGCCGAGCGUCAGAGGGAGUUCCCAGGGAGCCUGGGGCGGCGCAGGAGCCGGGACGCGCAGAGGCAAAGCCUGUGACCUCAGCCCUCGUUCGACCUCCUCAAGGACCUCGACCUACGGGACCGCGCGCUCUGGGGGGACCUCUUUACCCUACCAUGGGAGAAUUAGUGUUGAUGACCUUAGUUACUGUUUCGAUAAAUAGUAAUGGCUAAAUUAGAAGUACUCUUGCGUAGAAGUUCAUGUUCUACGUCGUUCUACCGAUGGUGUAUGUUCUUAUUACGUUUUAAGUCACCUUGACUUCAUACAGAAACGGAAAGUUUACUGCGACUAUAACUACUGAAGUAUAAUACCGACCAACCAAAACGUGCGUUCCAUGUGCACGAUUCUCGUCGAUUGAAUCGUUAACUCGAGAGAUAACUCGUUUGUUAUUCAAGACCUAGUUCUUUACAAGCAGACGGUUUACUUAGACUACUAUGGGUAGAAAGAUAACGGUGUAGUUCAUAACUCGUCGAUCAAAGACCAGAACUUCUAAUACGUGAGAGUGUACCCUUGUGUACACUGUUCACACUACGUACAACAUACUUAUCUCUAGCAGACUUCCAACCUUGACCUAGACGGUUCUUAAGUCUGUCUUCUUCUCUAUUUCCCGAUGAACAACUUUAUCGGUAUUACCAACGCGUAUGACGUAGACUAAACUCAACAACCUACCAAUUAACAAGUAGAUGAGUCCAAAACGUAAAAGUUCUGAAGCAUGGGACGGGGUAAAGUGUCAGUAGGAAGUUACACGAGUACUCAUACCUGACCGUUUCGAAGCCAAAGUUCAAUUUUCCUCCAAAGUACCUACUGCUUCCUUUACGACACGAACUCACCCUAUUGGACUGUAAACGAGCACAACUAUAACGGUAAGUGUGAAUGGUACCUUAUCAUGUUCUUACCGUCUCUAGACUUGGUCUAUUUAUACAACACUCCUUCCGUGAAUUCGAACGUAACGUAUUGGACUUUCGUUUAGUACGUCCUCUCAAAUAGUCAACAGUACCUUUCUUCUAGGAGCUCAUGCAGGGGCUGGAGCGCGUCAGCUAGCGGCCGGACUAGAGCAGCAGGUUGCUGGCCCUCAAGGCUCUGCUUACGCGGCGCGAGGAGCCCGACCCGAGGCCAGUUCUGCAGAGCCUUCCCCGCCAGUCCAGGACGUAGCCGCUGUCCUACCGGGCGUAGUAUCUCUACCCGCUGCCGUUCCUCUUCCGGCUCCUGCCGCGCGGCGGGAUGGACAAGCUCACGCUCUUCGACCUACUUCUGUCGGGCGACGAGCUGCUCCUUCUACCUCUGCUGCUGUACUAAAAACUAAAGAUCGUAGCAUCAGUUGAUCCUCAUACUAUGCUGUCGGCACGAUCUAUUCAAAUACAUGCGACUGUUCGCAGCAACGAAGGAAGAGGGCAUUUACAUAUUUGUAGUGUAUAUACAGCAUGCUCUACAAUGGUAUAAAACAUACUUAAACCAAUUUAAGUUUGUCUAAACUGGAUCUAGGUUC
Molecule: ribosomal RNA, 1788 nt
Filed under: Triticum aestivum (bread wheat)
Lineage: Eukaryota; Viridiplantae; Streptophyta; Magnoliopsida; Poales; Poaceae
Description: partial small subunit ribosomal RNA
Source: RNAcentral